GUGGGAAGCACAGAAAAGAAGCAGUUUUGAACAAACAAGACAUGCCAGAGAAGUGGAAGAGAGAGAAAGUGUCUUGUAACAUGGUAUCACAAAGGGACUGGGAAGAUUCCACACAGGGGCUGACUUUCUCAAAAGGAGGGGGGUGGGGUUAAAGAUGAAUUGGAU
Electrophorus electricus (electric eel) is the source of this 165-nucleotide long non-coding RNA. RefSeq lists it as uncharacterized. The record is from RefSeq and is a predicted model, not a curated record. NCBI's taxonomy places the organism in Eukaryota, Metazoa, Chordata, Actinopteri, Gymnotiformes, Gymnotidae.